This 464-nucleotide ribosomal RNA is filed under the name uncultured bacterium. RNAcentral describes it as "partial 16S ribosomal RNA". It matches the Rfam family "Bacterial small subunit ribosomal RNA", at positions 339 to 795 of the family's 1533-position model. The record is from RNAcentral.
CUACGGGAUGCAGCAGUGGGGAAUAUUGCACAAUGGGCGCAAGCCUGAUGCAGCCAUGCCGCGUGUAUGAAGAAGGCCUUCGGGUUGUAAAGUACUUUCAGCGGGGAGGAAGGGAGUAAAGUUAAUACCUUUGCCCAUUGACGUUACCCGCAGAAGAAGCACCGGCUAACUCCGUGCCAGCAGCCGCGGUAAUACGGAGGGUGCAAGUGUUAAUCGGAAUUACUGGGCGUAAAGCGCACGCAGGCGGUUUGUUAAGUCAGAUGUGAAAUCCCCGGGCUCAACCUGGGAACUGCAUCUGAUACUGGCAAGCUUGAGUCUCGUAGAGGGGGGUAGAAUUCCAGGUGUAGCGGUGAAAUGCGUAGAGAUCUGGAGGAAUACCGGUGGCGAAGGCGGCCCCCUGGACGAAGACUGACGCUCAGGUGCGAAAGCGUGGGGAGCAAACAGGAUUAGAUACCCCUGUAGUC